UCAAGCAGUAGUAUACUUCAUGUUAAACAUUAAUAUAUACUUAUUUGAUAACAGCAAAGAUGACGUCAACAGUAUUGACGGCAAAACAGGCUACAGAAUAUUUAGUUCUGUAUUGACAGGUGCAAUAUUUGAAAAUCAAUAAUUAUUUAUUAUUUAUUUUUUUAUACAUUUAUGUCUGC
Molecule: long non-coding RNA, 179 nt
Organism: Etheostoma spectabile (orangethroat darter)
Lineage: Eukaryota; Metazoa; Chordata; Actinopteri; Perciformes; Percidae
Exons: 3
Source: RefSeq, a predicted model, not a curated record